Molecule: ribosomal RNA, 465 nt
Filed under: uncultured bacterium
Lineage: Bacteria
Description: partial 16S ribosomal RNA
Rfam family: Bacterial small subunit ribosomal RNA
Source: RNAcentral
CCUACGGGAGGCAGCAGUGGGGAAUAUUGCGCAAUGGGCGAAAGCCUGACGCAGCGACGCCGCGUGAGGGAUGAAGGUCUUCGGAUUGUAAACCUCUGUCAGCAGGGAAGAACGGUCACUGUGCUAAUCAGCAGUGAAUUGACGGUACCUGCAAAGGAAGCACCGGCUAACUCCGUGCCAGCAGCCGCGGUAAUACGGAGGGUGCGAGCGUUAAUCGGAAUUACUGGGCGUAAAGCGCUCGUAGGCGGUCUGUCAAGUCAAGUGUGAAAUCCCCGGGCUCAACGUGGGAACUGCCUUGGAAACUGGCAGAGUGGAGUGUGUGAGAGGAGAGUGGAAAUCCAGGUGUAGGGGUGAAAUGCGUAGAGAUCUGGAGGAACACCAGUGGCGAAGGCGACUAUCUGGCACAUAACUGACGCUGAGGAGCGAAAGCGUGGGUAGCAAACAGGAUUAGAUACCCCUGUAGUC